UGACUGGGGCGGUCUCCUCCGAAAGAGUAGCAGAGGAGCGCGAAGGUACCCUCGGCACGUUUGGAAAUCGUGCUCUGAGUGCAAUGGCAUAAGGGUGCUUGACUGCGAGACAGACACGUCGAGCAGGGUCGAAAGACGGUCAUAGUGAUCCGGUGGUUCUGUAUGGAAGGGCCAUCGCUCAACGGAUAAAAGGUACUCCGGGGAUAACAGGCUGAUACCGCCCAAGAGUUCAUAUCGACGGCGGUGUUUGGCACCUCGAUGUCGGCUCAUCUCAUCCUGGGGCUGAAGCAGGUCCCAAGGGUAUGGCUGUUCGCCAUUUAAAGAGGUACGCGAGCUGGGUUUAGAACGUCGUGAGACAGUUCGGUCCCUAUCUGCCGUGGGCGUUUGAGAAUUGAGGGAAGCUGCUCCUAGUACGAGAGGACCGGAGUGGACGAACCUCUGGUGUUCCGGUUGUCACGCCAGUGGCAUUGCCGGGUAGCUACGUUCGGAAGGGAUAACCGCUGAAAGCAUCUAAGCGGGAAGCCCCUCCCAAGAUUAGUUCUCACUAGACUCUCGAAGUCUCUAAAGGUCCGUCGAAGACUACGACGUUGAUAGGCCAGGUGUGGAAGCACAGUAAUGUGUGUAGCUAACUGGUACUAAUUGACCGUGCGGCUUGACCAU
RNAcentral lists this ribosomal RNA (660 nucleotides) under Gammaproteobacteria bacterium. RNAcentral's name for it is "partial 23S ribosomal RNA". It matches the Rfam family "Bacterial large subunit ribosomal RNA", at positions 2270 to 2925 of the family's 2925-position model. Lineage: Bacteria; Pseudomonadati; Pseudomonadota; Gammaproteobacteria. The record is from RNAcentral.